RNAcentral lists this ribosomal RNA (486 nucleotides) under uncultured bacterium. Its description in RNAcentral is "partial 16S ribosomal RNA". It matches the Rfam family "Bacterial small subunit ribosomal RNA", at positions 29 to 507 of the family's 1533-position model. The record is from RNAcentral.
AUUGAACGCUGGCGGCAUGCCUUACUCAUGCAAGUCGAACGGCAGCACGGGUGCUUGCACCUGGUGGCGAGUGGCGAACGGGUGAGUAAUACAUCGGAACAUGUCCUGUAGUGGGGGAUAGCCCGGCGAAAGCCGGAUUAAUACCGCAUACGAUCUACGGAUGAAAGCGGGGGACCUUCGGGCCUCGCGCUAUAGGGUUGGCCGAUGGCUGAUUAGCUAGUUGGUGGGGUAUAGGCCUACCAAGGCGACGAGCAGUAGCUGGUCUGAGAGGGCGACCAGCCACACUGGGACUGAGACACGGCCCAGACUCCUACGGGGGGCAGCAGUGGGGAAUUUUGGACAAUGGAGGAAAGCCUGAUCCAGCAAUGCCGCGUGUGUGAAGAAGGCCUUCGGGUUGUAAAGCACUGUUGUCCGGAAAGAAAUACUUGGCCCUAAUACGGUCGGGGGAUGACGGUACCGGAAGAAUAAGCACCGGCUAACUACGUG